GAUGAACGCUGGCGGCGUGCCUAAUACAUGCAAGUCGAGCGAACAGAUAGGGAGCUUGCUCCUUUGACGUUAGCGGCGGACGGGUGAGUUACACGUGGAUAACCUACCUAUAAGACUGGGAUAACUUCGGGAAACCGGAGCUAAUACCGGAUAACAUAUUGAACCGCAUGGUUCAAUAGUGAAAGGCGGCUUUGCUGUCACUUAUAGAUGGAUCCGCGCCGUAUUAGCUAGUUGGUAAGGUAACGGCUUACCAAGGCAACGAUACGUAGCCGACCUGAGAGGGUGAUCGGCCACACUGGAACUGAGACACGGUCCAGACUCCUACGGGAGGCAGCAGUAGGGAAUCUUCCGCAAUGGGCGAAAGCCUGACGGAGCAACGCCGCGUGAGUGAUGAAGGUCUUCGGAUCGUAAAACUCUGUUAUCAGGGAAGAACAAAUGUGUAAGUAACUGUGCACAUCUUGACGGUACCUGAUCAGAAAGCCACGGCUAACUACGUG
Molecule: ribosomal RNA, 497 nt
Filed under: uncultured bacterium
Lineage: Bacteria
Description: partial 16S ribosomal RNA
Rfam family: Bacterial small subunit ribosomal RNA
Source: RNAcentral